This is an RNA transcript of Tribolium castaneum (red flour beetle), 3408 nucleotides long. RefSeq lists it as uncharacterized. The record is from RefSeq and is a predicted model, not a curated record. The transcript is spliced from 7 exons. NCBI's taxonomy places the organism in Eukaryota, Metazoa, Arthropoda, Insecta, Coleoptera, Tenebrionidae.
AAAACAUGCUAACAAUUUGAAUGUAGCGCUGUGAAUUUUGGGGGAUUUGCGUUUGUUGCGUUGUCGUCUGCCAGUCCGACGCCAUAACGUCCAUUUUGUUGGUUUGUUUUGUGUGUUGCCGGUUUUGUUAAAAAUCCAUCGAAUUUCGACGAAAUGAGCCGCCGCUCAGAAACCACAACGAAAGUUUUCGUGGGCAGUCUGCCCAACGGAGUAACCACAGACGACUUGCGUUCCCUUUUCGCCCCCUAUGGGGCUAUCGCCGAAUGCGAUAUAGCUAACCGGUGCGGUUUCCUCCACCUUGAAGACCACGACUUGGCCAUGAAAGCCAUUGCGGAACUCAACGGUACCAAUUUCAUGGGUGGGCGAAUUUCCGUCGAAAAGGGGCGGGUGAAACCCAGACGGGGGCCUGGGGGCGGCGGCCCGAUGCGCGGGGGCAAAGACCGGGGCGGGCCUUACGCACGAAGCGACUUUCGCGGGCCUCCACACCGAAACGGGGGCUUUGGUGGUGGGCGUGACUACCCGCCUUAUGGGGGCGGUGACAGGUUUGGGGCGUAUGACAGGCCGCCCCAAAGGGGCGGCUACGACGGGGCGUACGCCGACCGGAGGCCGCCGUACGAUGACCGUCGGGGGGCUGCGUUCGGCGCCGAGAGGAGGCCCUUCAGUAGCGAUUUUGAUCGACGUCCGUAUGCUGACGCCCGUCCUGGGGGCUUCCCGGAGGUGCCACGAGUCGAUUACGACGAUCGGCGACCCCCUGCUGCGGAAUUCGACGAUCGGAGGCCGCUUUUAGCCGACAGGAGGCCCCUUUUGGACCAGCAGGGGCCGCCGCCGCCGAGGGGACCCGCCGCGUUUGACAGGGGGGCUCCCGUGGCCGAGCUGUACAGUCGGAGGGACCAAGUGCCUAAGCCAUUGGGCGGGGCUGGGGGUUUUCCGGAUCGUGUCGGUUACGCAACGGCGUCAGCCAAUGGUUACACAGCGGGGUACGGUAGUCCAGCGGCUCCGCCAACUGGCGGUUACGGAACGCCGGCUCCUCCAACCGCUGGGUAUGGCACAGGGGCGGGGACUUUCGGUAGUCCCGCCCCUCAAGGCGCAUACAGCGAUGCUAGAGGUUACGGAACGGCUGCUGCGUAUGGAACACCGGGCGGUUACGGUGACACCUACGGGGCGGGUGCUGGAGGGCGUGGCUCGUAUGAUGCCGCCUACCCUCCACUACCCCAACAGAGAGGAGGGAAGUUUUGGUCCAAGAUUUGAGACUGAAAGUUUUGCCUAAUUUGGAGAUAUACAUAAAAUAUAUAAAUAUUAGAUUUUUUAUCAUAUAAAUAAUGUACUAAAUAAUAUAUUUGAUGGUGUUUUCACUCUAUAUAAGGUAAUCUGGCGUUGCGUUUGGAGCGACUUCUGUGUGCGGUACCUCUUUUAAAAGCGGAAACGAUAGACUCACUAGAUUUAGUCUUCUUUUUUUUUCUAAGGAUGUGCGGAAUUUGGCUAAAUUUGGGUAAAUUUUUUCGGUGCGGUAGGAGUGUGUGGUGCGCCUUAUAUAGAUUGGAAAUGGAGCAAACGUCUACCUGAUUUUGCAUAAUAGAUUAGUGUUUUUUUAUUGUUACAUUAGAUUAGUUUUAAGUCCGGUUGGGUAGACUUUUUCCGAUUGUUUUAUUCAAGCUAUAAAUGUGAAAGGAGAAAAAACGCAAUUUAAGCGCUCUAUAUUUUUAAUUUGCGGUGGCGGCAGAUUACGACUAAGCGGUAGAGUGACAAUAUUUAAAAAUCUGCGUGUUUUCUCUAAUUUUUUACACAAAAGUGGCGCCCCUCAUACCUUUUUUACUAUUCUGGAAUUAAAACAAGCUUGCGUUGACAUCUAGAUUUUAUUAUACGAAUUUCCUUUUUGUGAAUUAUGUAUAGUUGGCAUGAUAUAAGUACACACAAUAAAAAAAUGUUUUUUUAUUAAAUCGGUUAUUUAUCACCAAACCUCUGACUGAGUGCGUAACACACGCCUAAAGUUGGCGGAAAUUGAACAAAAAUUCGAUUCCGUUGUCGUCUUUCGCAAACGAGUCUAAAAUUCACGGCGCUUUAAUCAGAUCCGUCUCGAUUAACCAAAAAAACUUCAAUCAAAUUUCUACAAUUACUUACUAGUUUUUUCUUCUUCAAAGUUGUAAAAAUCAAAUUAUUUAAAAGAUUAAUCAAAAUCGACCGAUAAAAGUCUAGUUUAGUCAUUACAAAAAAAAGUUUGCGUUGUAUAAUCCAUUUACGAUGUUUUGAAUUUUGAUAAGUCUUGGCUAUUAUUUAAAUUUAAUUGUUUAAAUUAGAAUGCGGCCCGUCAAAAACGUUUUAAGCGCUCGAAAAAGGCAAAAAUGAGACCAUUCGCAACUCAAUUCGGCGCAUUUUUAAAUUUUGCGGAGCAAUUCAAUGUAAAAACUUAUUUUUUACGCAAUUUCGCACAACAUGCAACGGCAAAGGAUUCAUUUUCGCCCCAAAAUAAUAAUUUUUCCAAUCGAUUUAGCGAAUAUUUAUCUUCAAACGUGCUUCAGCGGUCGCAAUAGAAAAAUUCACAAUUUAACAAAAAAUUAUUGCGUUUCUAGCUGUUAACACGAAAAAUGGCAAAAAUAACGUCAUACUUAGUGAAAUUUCGGACCGGUUUUUGCGGAAUCUCUAGUUUCGUCAAUUUGACUUUGAAAACGGAAAUGGUCUUAAUUUUAUGAAGUUUCGUUAAAACAGUUUGCCCUAAAACAAGACUCAGCAACCCUUAUUCAAAAACAUCCUGAAUGGAUUCUUUUCGUAUAAUUAAAUUUCAAAGUUCAGUAACAGGCACAGCUUGGCAUUGUUUAAAUCACGUCUUAGCCCAAACAUUGAGCGACUUUUGUAGAAAAUCGAGUUUUACUAAACCCAACGCCUGAGGAAAAUUCGCACAAAACUCGUUUUGUAAAAUGCGACGUGGACGCCCCCUCGAAGACCCACGUGUGCGUCCCCAUCCAAGGUCCAUUUCGAAAACUAAACUCGCCGCAUUCGUCAAGAAUUGCGUUUUAACAGGUGAGGUACUUGUAUUGUUUUGAGGCACGGAUUUUUGCGUACAAAAACGGAUGCAAAAUUACAAACUCUCCGCUUAAAUAGGAACAAACAACAUUGCCGACACUGAAUUUAUUAUUUUGUUUCGCAGGUGAUCCAAAGGAUGGGCCGUGACUAGUGUUGGUAACCGGUCGGGGAGUCGCAACUUGUCGCGAUCUUUGAAGAAUUGGAAAACUUUGUCCAAGGAGACCUUCACUUCCUUGAAGUAACCCUUGUCUUGGGCUUCCUGAAACGUGAGGAGACUGCCGGUCCGGGUCAGAAGCCGUCCAGAGGGAGUGAACUUCAAGCCUUGCUCUUCCAGAAGUUCUAAUUUUUUUUUGUGUUAUUUUUGUGAUAAAUAAAUGGAAUAAAACCUGA